RNAcentral lists this unclassified non-coding RNA (369 nucleotides) under uncultured fungus. RNAcentral describes it as "sequence contains ITS1". Lineage: Eukaryota; Fungi. The record is from RNAcentral.
AAAACGCGAAAAAGUGUUGUGAUGUGCAGUCUUUGAGAAUGAUGAGUAUUUGAACGCACCUUGCACCAUGCUGUAGCAAUACACGUGGUAUGCCUGUUUGAGCAGGGAAAGGAAAUGAACACUGUAUGAGUACGGAGUAUGAGUACGAAGUAUGAGUACGAUGUUCGGAAUGGAGCGUAGGUGCGUACGAUGCAAAUCUGCACACACCUUGCUCUGGAAAAUAGCUGGUGGGCGUGAUGAAAGAAUCGAGCUUGCAUUGUUCUUGGGAUAAUCCCAGCAAGAACAGCAACACGAAUCACUCACACACACCCACCCAACACACCACUAUAUAAUCCUCUCAAAUCAGGCAAGAUGACCCGCUGAACUUAA